This 278-nucleotide unclassified non-coding RNA is filed under the name Hevea brasiliensis (rubber tree). The record is from RNAcentral. Lineage: Eukaryota; Viridiplantae; Streptophyta; Magnoliopsida; Malpighiales; Euphorbiaceae.
GGUUAAGCCUAACUCACCCCUAAAACCUUGAUGAAAGGGGGAGGAGUGCUUAUAAGGGGUAAAUUACACCUAAUCCCAAACCAAUAUAUGAUAUUAACAUAUCUCUCUCAUGCCCAGGACUAAACAAUUAGAGUAUGAAACACUUACAGAAGGUUCAAUAUUAGUUAGCGAGGCUCUGAUCCCAUGCUAAAUUUAGAGGGAAUGUUGAACAAUUUACACUUUAAUUUGUUCUUAAUAUGGACUUAUAUAAGUGGUUGAGUUGCUUUACAUAUCAAAAU